RNAcentral lists this ribosomal RNA (252 nucleotides) under uncultured bacterium. Its description in RNAcentral is "partial 16S ribosomal RNA". It matches the Rfam family "Bacterial small subunit ribosomal RNA", at positions 524 to 776 of the family's 1533-position model. The record is from RNAcentral.
GACAGAGGGGGCAAGCGUUGCUCGGAAUUACUGGGCGUAAAGGGCGCGUAGGCGGGAUGCAAGUCGGUCGUGAAAUCCCUCGGCUCAACUGAGGAUCGUCGAUCGAUACUGCCGUUCUUGAGGAUUGCAGAGGAGACUGGAAUUCCCGGUGUAGCGGUGAAAUGUGUAGAGAUCGGGAGGAACACCGGUGGCGAAGGCGGGUCUCUGGGCAAUUCCUGACGCUGAGGCGCGAAAGCGUGGGGAGCAAACGGG